Long non-coding RNA from Lycium barbarum (goji berry), 687 nucleotides. RefSeq lists it as uncharacterized. NCBI's taxonomy places the organism in Eukaryota, Viridiplantae, Streptophyta, Magnoliopsida, Solanales, Solanaceae. The record is from RefSeq and is a predicted model, not a curated record. The transcript is spliced from 3 exons.
CCACACUUAGAAAAAUAAAUCAAGAAGUUGAAGAACAACAACCAACACCAUUCGGCCAAGAACCAAGAAAACCAAGUCCAAUUUUAGCCACCCCAAAAAUAUUUCUUUGGUGCAAAUCCACUAGUUGGAGGUCCCUUAGUAACGUGGAAGUGUUGUUGGAGCGAUCAAGCCAUCCGUUUAGUAGAUCGCAAACCCUAGGCAUAGUGUGGAGUUGAAGAAGAAAGACCUUGGGGAGCCCGAGGCGUAGGUUGGGAUUAGCUUGAGUUGGGCUAGCUUGGAGUGCGUACGAGGUGCAGACACACAGUUUGGUGAUCCAGCCGUUUAGGACACCCUCUUCUGCUGUUUGGAGUGCUCCUCUUAUUCCGGAGCCUACAUUUUGGUAUAUAUCUUCGUUCGUUGCAUAUGUAUGUAUUUGUUCAGGGGUACGGCGGGGCCCUGUCCCGCCAUAUGAUUCGGUCUGUCUGUUUAGAGGUCUGUAGACGUAUAUGUGGGUUUUGUGCCUACUUCUGUACGGGUGUGUUUGUAUGAUCCCACUUGCCAUGGCAGCCUUGUCGGCGUGCGUUUGUAUAUGUUUUGGGCCGUUGCGCCAUUUGAUAGCCUUGUCGGCUUCUGAUAUAUAUGUACAUAUAUGGUUGUGUUUGAAAUGUGUCUGAGACAGUUUGAUAUAAUUUGAGGCAGCGUGUGAUA